This is a long non-coding RNA of Carassius gibelio (silver crucian carp), 1141 nucleotides long. RefSeq lists it as uncharacterized. The record is from RefSeq and is a predicted model, not a curated record. NCBI's taxonomy places the organism in Eukaryota, Metazoa, Chordata, Actinopteri, Cypriniformes, Cyprinidae. The transcript is spliced from 3 exons.
GUACAGUACACUGUGACAUGUCAGGUCAUGAAUAUCCAGGAUUUAUACUUACUAUUUAUGUUUGCCUUUUGCCAGAAAAAUACAUCUACAAAAUCAAACAUUUUAGCCAGCCUCUGAGUCGAGUUUACAGCUGCUGAUCACAGGUCUCCUGAUAGGCAUCGUCAGCACUGUAGGGAUGUGCGUUGUGGCUAACUUCCAGAAAACUGACAUGAUAUCCAUCCACCUUUUGGGAUCGGGGCUGAUCUUUGCUCCUGGGACGUUGUAUAUCCUGGUCCAGACUGGCAUGUUGUAUCAUAUGCAGCCACGUUUCCCGUCAGGGAUAUAUAUAUAUAUAUUUUUAUAUAUAUACUGUAGUUUCACUGCAUUUGUGAAUGUGAAUGUAUGAAAAAAAGUCAGUGUAAUAUAAUGAAAUAUUUCAUGGAAAUACACUGGUUUAAUAUAGCAAAAUUUGAUUCGAAGGAAAAAUACAUACAGUAGGUUAAUUAAUGUAGGCAAGUUUGGUUUAAUAUAUUUGUGAAAUGUGGAGAUGAAGUGUUUUUUUUUUAUAUUUUUUAUUUUUUAUUCACUAUUUUGUUUUCAUUGAAAAAAAUAUGUUUUUCAAUUCUGCACGUAUUCACUGGCUCAGUUUCUGUCACAUUGAACCUUCAGGUCAAGCUCAAACAAGCUUUUCAUGCAUUAAAUACAGCAGCUUAUCACAGCAGUUAUCCACAACACCCAACACAACACAAAUGACAAACAGCUUUUAAAGUAUGACUAACACAUGACAACAUAAAUAAAAAAUGAUCUGACAUUUAAUUCUAUCUACAUUCCUUAUAAUUAUUUACUACUGACUGACUGAUUUAUUUCACACAACUUCAUUUACAACCAGCUACCUUGGUGAAUACUUCCACUAGUUUUUCUUGGCUUUCUCCUUCAUCCUUUUCUGGUAUUCAACAAUCUUUCUGUCAAAGAGCCCUGAAAAAAUGGAAAAAACUUUAUUUUCAUUUCUAUUCAAGAUCAUUUUUAUAUUGGUAGCAUCCUCUUCUUAAGCAAAAUACAAGUCAUUAAGAUGACACUAUUAAAGGUACCUCAAAAUGUGAAGAUUUUAUGUGAAGAUUUUAAGUUCACUUAAAUUAAACACAAUAAAAUAAAAUAAAAAUCA